GGGGAUGUAGCUCAUCUGGUAGAGCGCGUGCUUAGCAUCUGUGAAUAAUCGCUCUUCCCAGAGCCGUUAGUCGGUACAUGUUCCUGCACGAGGUACUGGGUUCGACUCCCAGCUUCUCCA
RNAcentral lists this transfer RNA (120 nucleotides) under Coniochaeta ligniaria NRRL 30616. It matches the Rfam family "tRNA". Rfam says of the family: Transfer RNA (tRNA) molecules are approximately 80 nucleotides in length. Lineage: Eukaryota; Fungi; Ascomycota; Sordariomycetes; Coniochaetales; Coniochaetaceae. The record is from Rfam by way of RNAcentral.